GGGUUGUGAGGUUAAGCGACUAAGCGUACACGGUGGAUGCCCUGGCAGUCAGAGGCGAUGAAGGACGUGCUAAUCUGCGAUAAGCGUCGGUAAGGUGAUAUGAACCGUUAUAACCGGCGAUUUCCGAAUGGGGAAACCCAGUGUGAUUCGUCACACUAUCAUUAACUGAAUCCAUAGGUUAAUGAGGCGAACCGGGGGAACUGAAACAUCUAAGUACCCCGAGGAAAAGAAAUCAACCGAGAUUCCCCCAGUAGCGGCGAGCGAACGGGGAGGAGCCCAGAGCCUGAAUCAGUGUGUGUGUUAGUGGAAGCGUCUGGAAAGGCGCGCGAUACAGGGUGACAGCCCCGUACACAAAAAUGCACAUGCUGUGAGCUCGAUGAGUAGGGCGGGACACGUGGUAUCCUGUCUGAAUAUGGGGGGACCAUCCUCCAAGGCUAAAUACUCCUGACUGACCGAUAGUGAACCAGUACCGUGAGGGAAAGGCGAAAAGAACCCCGGCGAGGGGAGUGAAAAAGAACCUGAAACCGUGUACGUACAAGCAGUGGGAGCACAGAGCAAUCUGUGUGACUGCGUACCUUUUGUAUAAUGGGUCAGCGACUUAUAUUCUGUAGCAAGGUUAACCGAAUAGGGGAGCCGAAGGGAAACCGAGUCUUAACUGGGCGUUAAGUUGCAGGGUAUAGACCCGAAACCCGGUGAUCUAGCCAUGGGCAGGUUGAAGGUUGGGUAACACUAACUGGAGGACCGAACCGACUAAUGUUGAAAAAUUAGCGGAUGACUUGUGGCUGGGGGUGAAAGGCCAAUCAAACCGGGAGAUAGCUGGUUCUCCCCGAAAGCUAUUUAGGUAGCGCCUCGUGAAUUCAUCUCCGGGGGUAGAGCACUGUUUCGGCAAGGGGGUCAUCCCGACUUACCAACCCGAUGCAAACUGCGAAUACCGGAGAAUGUUAUCACGGGAGACACACGGCGGGUGCUAACGUCCGUCGUGAAGAGGGAAACAACCCAGACCGCCAGCUAAGGUCCCAAAGUCAUGGUUAAGUGGGAAACGAUGUGGGAAGGCCCAGACAGCCAGGAUGUUGGCUUAGAAGCAGCCAUCAUUUAAAGAAAGCGUAAUAGCUCACUGGUCGAGUCGGCCUGCGCGGAAGAUGUAACGGGGCUAAACCAUGCACCGAAGCUGCGGCAGCGACACUGUGUGUUGUUGGGUAGGGGAGCGU
RNAcentral lists this ribosomal RNA (1208 nucleotides) under Escherichia coli. RNAcentral's name for it is "partial 23S ribosomal RNA". It matches the Rfam family "Bacterial large subunit ribosomal RNA", at positions 1 to 1239 of the family's 2925-position model. Lineage: Bacteria; Pseudomonadati; Pseudomonadota; Gammaproteobacteria; Enterobacterales; Enterobacteriaceae. The record is from RNAcentral.